CCUGAAGGAACGUUGAAGACGACGACGUUGAUAGGCCGGAUGUGUAAGCGCAGCGAUGCGUUGAGCUAACCGGUACUAAUGAACCGUGAGGCUUAACCUUACAACGCCGAAGGUGUUU
This 118-nucleotide ribosomal RNA is filed under the name Escherichia coli. RNAcentral describes it as "partial 23S ribosomal RNA". The stretch from base 1 to 100 matches the Rfam family "Bacterial large subunit ribosomal RNA", at positions 2826 to 2925 of the family's 2925-position model. The record is from RNAcentral. Lineage: Bacteria; Pseudomonadati; Pseudomonadota; Gammaproteobacteria; Enterobacterales; Enterobacteriaceae.